CUAAACGUCUCGUCCUCUUUCCCUAACUCAGAGCCGGAAAACUUCAGCACAUUGGCCUCAAAAUCAACGGAAGAUUGUUUGUGACUGUGCUAAGGCGUGUCAGAGCAGGUUUACUGAAGGAACGGCUUCUUCAGGGAAGGACUUCACGGCCACUGCCACACUAUACAGCCACCUGUAGUUGGAGAUGAGGCACCUGGCAUCAGACUGCUCCCUGCUGUCCUAUUGGCUGAUGCUGAGUCUCCUGUCCAAUAGAAGUGGCCUCCCCCUGUCUCGCCCCCAGCUCUGGAGCCGUGCUGUGCGGCAGGGGCAGCAGGAGCUGCUUUUUACCCCAGGAGGGGCUCACUCCUGCUGGUCCGCUGGCUCGCUCGGCUCCUGUCCUGCUGACCGGGUGAAAAGGAGCCACUCGCCGGGGACCUGCCCGCCUCAGAUUCCUGCACACAUUGAAU
Long non-coding RNA from Onychostoma macrolepis, 446 nucleotides. RefSeq lists it as uncharacterized. The record is from RefSeq and is a predicted model, not a curated record. Lineage: Eukaryota; Metazoa; Chordata; Actinopteri; Cypriniformes; Cyprinidae. The transcript is spliced from 3 exons.